This 270-nucleotide long non-coding RNA is filed under the name Homo sapiens (human). RNAcentral's name for it is "non-protein coding lnc-RAET1E-1:1". Lineage: Eukaryota; Metazoa; Chordata; Mammalia; Primates; Hominidae. The record is from RNAcentral.
CCAUUGGGUAAGGUGGCAUUUAUCUCCAGCUUCCUUGAGGUGAGCUCAGUUUAGGAAGUUUCUUUUCGACUGAACUGUGUCAGGAAUCUCGCCAAUGCCUGAUGCUGCCCACCACAUCUCUUUUGCUGCUGCUGUGGCUGGAACCUGCCUGGGAGGCACCGGCUGUGAAGGCUGGAGACCCAGGGAGGCUGCCCUGACACCUCUCCUUGUUCCCUGAGCCAGGGGGCCCAUCUGAGCCCCUUCACCCCUGGGGAGCUGUUUUCUGUGCCU